RNAcentral lists this ribosomal RNA (248 nucleotides) under uncultured bacterium. RNAcentral's name for it is "partial small subunit ribosomal RNA". It matches the Rfam family "Bacterial small subunit ribosomal RNA", at positions 26 to 286 of the family's 1533-position model. The record is from RNAcentral.
AGAAUCAACGCUGGCGGCGUGCCUAACACAUGCAAGUCGAACGAGAAAGUGGUAGCAAUACCAUGAGUAAAGUGGCGCACGGGUGAGUAACACGUGACUAACCUACCCUGGAGUGGGGGAUAACUGAGGGAAACCUUAGCUAAUACCGCAUAAUACCCACGGGUCAAAGGAGCAAUUCGCUUUGGGAGGGGGUCGCGGCCGAUUAGUUAGUUGGCGGGGUAACGGCCCACCAAGACGAUGAUCGGUAU